UUUGGUGAUGAUAGCGACAGGGAUACACCCGGUAACAUUUCGAACCCGGCAGUUAAGUCUGUUAGCGCCUAAAAUACUUGGACUUGUCCUGGGAAGAUAGGCGGUUGCCAAACU
RNAcentral lists this ribosomal RNA (114 nucleotides) under Leptotrichia wadei. The record is from RNAcentral. Lineage: Bacteria; Fusobacteriati; Fusobacteriota; Fusobacteriia; Fusobacteriales; Leptotrichiaceae.